UCACAAUGUAAGUCAUUCUAUCAUUUCUCACAUUCAUAUUGAUGUUAAUAAAUCUAGACAUAUAUAUAUGCGGGAAUGUCUAGAUUCAUUAACAUAAAUAUGAAUGUGGAAAAUGCUAGAAUGACUUACAUUGUAUGUCUAGAUUUAUUAACAUCAAUAUGAAUGUGGGAAAUACUAAAAUGACUUACAUUGUGAAACGG
RNAcentral lists this unclassified non-coding RNA (200 nucleotides) under Oryza sativa (Asian cultivated rice). RNAcentral's name for it is "partial microRNA MIR455b-47 precursor". Lineage: Eukaryota; Viridiplantae; Streptophyta; Magnoliopsida; Poales; Poaceae. The record is from RNAcentral.